UAAACAUUGGCAUUUAGAAUAACCAGGGCCUGUAAAAGAAAACUGGUACUUGUAGCUGAAGCCAGUGUGAUCACGGCAAUUCCAUUCUGGCUCUGAAUGGGUGGCUGAUGCUAAGCCAGGCUGGAAAGCACAGAGUGCCAUGAACCUGCUUCAUUCUGCCACACACACUCCAUCUGGGAGGUGUUUUACCAGGACAGCCAUGUGUGCCUGGGUUAUCGGGACCUUGAGGCUUGCUGCAUCAACAUUUAAUGAGCUUUAUGUAUCCCUCACAACAGAAUAAUUCUCCUCUCCGAAGCCAUGGUCAUUUUCAGCCUUGCCUCUGCCUCCCUCCUAGUGCCAGCAAGACUGUGCCUGGCAUUUCUGAACUACUGCCGCCUUCCAGUCUUGAGUGACACAGAGGCCGUGCUGUCUGCUUUAGCUGCAGUAGCAAAUUUGCCAUGGAACCUUGAUUGCUUUCCGAUAUCAUUUCCAGGUUAGCCGUCCAUGCAUGAUGGAUAGCCCAUCCUCAAUUUGGGGUCGACAGAUGAUGUGACCCCCGCCGGCUGUGCUGCUUGAGGGUGCACUUGCCUCCCUCAGGAGUGUCAGUGUCUACACUCAGCCUGAUUCUCAUUCAUAUCUAAACCAGGAGAGAUUCUAGGCAAGCUGAAGGUCACCAUGGGCAUCCACAGUGGAAGCUAGAUCCUCACUAACUGCCAGACAAGUCUAUGCUAGGCUACAGAGGCGAUAUGAAAGAGAACUACCCAGUCCUUCAGAACAAGGCUGGGCUCAGAGGCCAGAGCAGACAGGGGAUGGGAGUGCUCAGACCCUCACGUGCAGUCUGGGUUUAAUGUUCUGAGCUAGUGUUUUCCAGUCUGACUCACGGAGGAUUCUUCUGACAAACUGGUCUCCUACCUCUCUUCUGCCUACCUACCUUUGGUCUCAUCUUGGGAGCUUUGACAUCUGAUAGAUGCAAAGGAGAAAGCUCUCAGGAGCACCAGCUCUGCCCUGCUCCACAUUGCCCCUCCCAGUGCAGCAGGCUGGUGAUUCAGUGCAGGUUUUUGUUAAGGUGAAGCUCUCGAUGCUGCAGGUCUGGUGUUUACACAGCCUCCAUUGAUGGUUUUCUAAGUUUCUGACAGAUUCAAGUGAUGGUGUCUGUGGAGGAUGCCCUUAGGUUGGGGGUUAAAAGUAUGCUUAAAGUAAUAAUGCUAGACAAGCCUACAACCCAAGAUGGCAGUGCUAUGUUGGCCAACAGAUGAAGCUUAGGUCUAUGGAACACAAUAGAGAAGCAAGGCAAUGGACCUUCAGCAAUGUGGCCAAGGUGACGGUGUUGGCCAACAGAUGAAGUGUAGGUCUAUAGAACACAAUAGAAAGACAAGCAAUGGAUCUUCAGCAACAUGGCUUGAUUGAUUUUCGACAUACAAAAACAAUUUCCUGGCGUGAAGACUGUGUUCUGAGAGUGACCCAAAAUGUAAAUAAUGGUGAACCUGAGCAAUGCAUCCCUUACACAAAAUUUGUCAAAUGAACAACAGACUUAAGAGCAGAAUAUAAUGCUGCAAACUUUUAUUGAAAAGUCACAAGAGAAACUUAUUAAGAUCUAGGGAGAAGCAUGCAGUUCUUAAACUUAGCACCAAAAGUAUGAUCUUUAAGAUAUCAGAAACCACCCAACAACGCACAGUGUGUCUUGGAAAUCCAGUGAAGAGUACAGGGAGGACACUAGAGUGGGAGAGAAUAUCUGUACUAUAUAGAUAGAGGGCUAGAGUCUAUAAUACAUGAAGACCCCUCUUAACUCAGUGUAAGUAAAAGAAAUAAUUGCACAAUGGGAAAAGGGUAUUUCAACUACAGAGUCUGAAAAUGUCAGCAGUGCACGUGCGAAGAUGCUGAACCCUGUUAGCCAAUAAGAAGUGUAACGGUACCACCACACUCAGCUAUCCUGUCGAGACACACUAUGGUAAGGCUGCUGAGACUGAGUCCUCCAUUGCAUAUGAUGGGAAUGUGACAUGAAACACUCUGGAAAACAGCUUGGCAGGUUCCUGUAACUGUCUACACAGUCACCACAUGAUCCAGAAAAGUCACUCAGACAUUUCUCCCAGAGAAAUAAAACAUUAUAUUUGUACAAAACCCGUGUAUGAAUAUUCAUAGAUGCAUUACUUAUAAUGGCUCCAAAAUGGAGAAAAAAAACCCACAUGUCUUUCAAUGAUCAAAUGCUUAAAUAAAUUGAGAGACAUAUGCAGGAUGGAAUAUAGCUCAGCAAUAAAUGACAUUGCACUUCGAUAUGUUUAAUCAGAUGUGGGAAAUCUCUAGAGAAUUAAGCACGGGGAAAGAACCUCAAGUCCACGGUUUACACCCUUGAUGAUUUUAUUUACAGAUGAGUUAAUCUUCACUGUCAACUUAUCUGGACUGAGUAGAUGUGUGAAAGCAUUUUAGGAGAAAUUCAAGUGCAGAGGGAAGACUCCAAAUGUGGGUGCUACCAUUCCCUGAGCUGGGGAACUCACAGAGGAAGGAUAGGUACCCUAAGCAGUUGGCUGCCAGAAGAGCUCCUGUGGGUCAUUUGGCAACAGGAGCAGCAGAGAAGAAUCGGGCGCUGUGACAGUCCAUAAGCUUUCCUUGAUCACAUGAAUCUACACUUUCUGCUCUGACCUAGAGGACUGGCUUUGACUUUUCCUGGGGAGGUGGGAGGGUGGACUUUUCUGUGCACCGAGAAGGGGAGUGGCUGUGCUGCAUGCAGGGUUUCUUCCUCCUUCAACAUGACUCUGUGAUCCUGCUUUUUCCUGUCUAUGAGCAAAAAGCUGAGGCACAGAACACAAACUUAGAGCUAAUCUCAUCAUAAGAAACAAAGGUCACCCCACCCAGAGCAAACACAGCUUUAUUACUUCUGAUGGGGGCUAUCCUGAACCUUAAAUUAGUUCCUGGGAAAGAGAAGUUGUUUGCCUGUUUCCUCCUCUCACUUAAACCAACAGUGGCGCUCUCUGAAGAGAGUGCUCUCCGCCGAAUUCUGGUAUUUCAAUAAAUUCCAAUGUGCUGCUAUAGUAACUGUCUUAGCUAUGAUUAAUGUCGGAACAUUAGGAGAGCAUGUUAUUAUUAUUCUAAAUUAGGUUUUGCUUGAAUUAAUUUUUAUGCAUGGUUACUAAGAUGUAAAAGACUUUCUGAAUUGCAAAUUGUAACAUCCCUGCUUUGGGGGUGAGAUUGGAAACACAGGAGCCCUCCUGCUGGAAGGAUUUCCAGUUAGAGUAUUUGCCUAAGGGCCAACAUAUUAUUUAGUUAGUAGCCUGCUAAGAAAAUGCAGCUUGACACCAUGGAUCCUUUAGUUAACGGUGCUUUGCAUCACCACCUGAGCCUACUUUGUGGAGAAACACAAUAGAUAUCAAUAUGCUGUCACGUUCAUGAUGUGAGGAGUAGGCGAAGAGUCAGGCUGCCCCAAUGGAGCCCACGCAUGUCACUUUAUUUUCUCUUUUGAAAUCUUUAUACCAAAAUGAUGGGACUCACACGCUGGAAAUCGUAGUCGAAUGCUUACUGGGCACUUAGCAGACCUCCGAGGCUGCCUUUUGCUGCUGUAAUAAAACACCAGCCAAAAGCCACUUGUGGAGGAAAUGGUUUAUUUCAUCUUACAACUUCCAGGUCACAUUCCAUCACUUAGAGAAUUCAGGGCAAGAACUCAAGGCAGGACCGUGGGCACAGGACUGGAAGCAGAGGCCAUGGAGGAGUGGCGCUGACUGGCUUGCUCAUUAUGGCUUACUCAGGCUGCUCAGACGAUGGCAAGUAGGUCAUGGAAAUAUGGACUGCAGGUUUGAGUGAUGUUGGGAGCAGAGACCGGAGAGAAUUAGCUGAAUGUUGUGUGAGUGAAAAAGAGUUUUCUGAUGUAGUGAAAAGAGAAGACCUUGGGAAUGCCAAACCCCAGCUUCCUAGUUCUGGUUAAUCAGUUGAAUUAGAUAGUUGGACAGGGAACCAUGGAGUUGGGGAGGCCCGGGUCAGGAGUAGGCCCUGGGGGCUAUUCAGUCUGGUAACACCAGGAAGCAGAGGCUUGGAUAUUCACUGAACUGAAACCUGAACUUUGUGAGACCCAAGUGUGGUGGCAAGCUUUAAUUGUCAGCUUGAAACAACCUAGGAUCGCCUGGGAAUUCCUCAUUGAGGGAUUGUCUUUAUCAAGUUGGCCUAUGGGCAUGUCUGUGGAGAAUUGUCUUGUUUGCCUAAAUGACUAUGGAAGGCCCCAUUUCAUGGGAUGGUCACUGGACUGUGCAAGAGUGGAGAAAGUGAGCUGAGUACCAGGAAGUUUGUGUGCACUCACUGCUCCCUGUUCUGGUCUACGAUGUGAGAGGACUUAACACUUCAAGUUCCUGCCGUUUUUUCCACUAUGAUGGAACAUUUGUUACCUGGCACUAUGAAGGGAAAUAAACCCUCUCUUCCCUAAGUGGCCUUUUGUUAGCGUGUUUUAUCACAGCGACAGAAAUGCAACUAGUGGAAUAACAUUGACAGACACUCAGCUUGCAUCCCUAUUUCUGUCUCCUCAGAGGAGUUCUGUCUAAGAAAUCAUGCAGCGCAUAAAUGUGGAUCUAGGUUUGGACACUUCUCAACCUCAGGUAUUUGAGAUGCACAUGUUACCCUGCCAGGAGCUCAUUGGUUUUUAUUUCUGCUUGAGAAAGGUGAGUAACAGUGGGCAGGACCCGAGGGGAGGCACCUCUGCCCACCUCCUGCCUGGUCAACCUCCUAGAUCAGGCGCUUGCUAUUUUGGAAAAUACACUCAAACACUUUUUGUGCCUUUUCACUUUCAUGUCUUUUGGGUAAACACCAAGGUUUCCAGAACCUGAGGGUAAGAACAUCUUUAAUUUUAUGAGAAACUCCCAGGUAAUUUUCUCUUUGAAAAAGAUGCGAUAGGGAAAAACAGAAACUCUCGUGCUUGGCGGCGGCUUCGCUCCUGUAUUUAUUAGUUCUGGCUCUCUCUUUCCUGUAGAUCACGGUUCUUACUUGUUAUCGGUGCUCUGCAGCCCAAGGCACUUUCCUCGUGUCCCUACCUCUGUAAUUAGCUGGCAAUAAAUCGUCUCAGAUUUUAUUUGGUUGAAAAUAUCUUCACUUAAUGCUCCCCUUGAAAGGUCUUUAGGCCAGGUAUAGAAUUCUGGAUUGAUUUCUUUUCCUCCAGUAGUGGAGAAAUCAUUGGAUUGUUUUCAAGGGUCUUCUGUUCCAGAGAGGGAUUUGUGUUACUGUGUUCCUUUUGAAUUUAGUUGUUUGUCUUCCUUAUCUUUCAGGAGCCAUCAGCUGCCAAGCUCCGUGUUUUCCAGUAUUCUUGAGGGUUGGCUGCAGGAUGAGGUUUUCCCACCGUCCAGAUCCAGAUUUCAGGCAUCAAGCUUUCAUGGAUACCAGGCAGGAGUGGGGCAGAGCCUCAUCACUGUCUUAGAUGCUCAGCUCUCACCUUUAGCUGCAGCCGGAGCCCCGAGGGCUGAGAGGAGGGCCGAUGUCCAUCAAGAAUGAAAGGCAAUGCCUGAGGUUCCUGGAGCUGCCAAGGCACAGCACCGCAGAUCCAGAUCUGGACAACACAGGGGCUUUAUGAAGAGUGGAAAUGAAGAAUUUUCAAGCCAGUGCCAGUGAAGUCUGAGACCAGAUGAAGGAUCCCAUGUGCGUGCUCUUGUGGCUUGCCUCUGAAGAGGAGAGGGGCCAGGCAAAGCCCUGAGGUGACUCAGUGGAAGGAGGGAGCAGCGAACAAUGGACAGCUCAUACCCACUCAAUAGUAUCUCCUUAACUUUACCGCAAGCAUGUGGGAUUCUUUGUGCUGGUGUGGCACACAGGUGUUUCCUGUUCACUCCCCAUGCAUGGGGGCUGGUGUGCCACAUUUCACAGGUGUGCACAGCUGAUGUUCCCGCCCACAGAGCCUCACGUGGCAUCUGUCGC
This is a long non-coding RNA of Peromyscus californicus insignis, 5856 nucleotides long. RefSeq lists it as uncharacterized. NCBI's taxonomy places the organism in Eukaryota, Metazoa, Chordata, Mammalia, Rodentia, Cricetidae. The record is from RefSeq and is a predicted model, not a curated record. The transcript is spliced from 3 exons.